CCUACGGGGGGCAGCAGUGGGGAAUAUUGGACAAUGGGCGAAAGCCUGAUCCAGCCAUGCCGCGUGUGUGAAGAAGGCCUUCGGGUUGUAAAGCACUUUCAGUGGGGAAGAAAGCCUUGGGGCUAAUACCCUCGAGGAAGGACAUCACCCACAGAAGAAGCACCGGCUAACUCCGUGCCAGCAGCCGCGGUAAUACGGAGGGUGCGAGCGUUAAUCGGAAUUACUGGGCGUAAAGCGCGCGUAGGCGGUCUGAUAAGCCGGUUGUGAAAGCCCCGGGAUCAACCUGGGAACGGCAUCCGGAACUGUCAGGCUAGAGUGCAGGAGAGGAAGGUAGAAUUCCAGGUGUAGCGGUGAAAUGCGUAGAGAUCGGGAGGAAUACCAGUGGCGAAGGCGGCCUUCUGGACUGACACUGACGCUGAGGUGCGAAAGCGUGGGUAGCAAACAGGAUUAGAUACCCGUGUAGUC
Molecule: ribosomal RNA, 465 nt
Filed under: Vreelandella stevensii
Lineage: Bacteria; Pseudomonadati; Pseudomonadota; Gammaproteobacteria; Oceanospirillales; Halomonadaceae
Description: partial 16S ribosomal RNA
Rfam family: Bacterial small subunit ribosomal RNA
Source: RNAcentral